GUUCAGGCGCCCCGCUCACGUGACCGCGGCGCAUGUCAGCUGAUGCGGGAGGGUUUGAAGCGGCGCCGGGAGGGAGCGAGGCUGCAGUGACCGCGGCGCGCGCUGGGACCCACCCGCGUCUCGCGCUCACCCUGCGGCCAUGGCCACCCCGGCGGGCCGGCGCGCCUCAGAGACUGAGCGGCUGCUGACCCCCAAUCCUGGGUAUGGGACCCAGGUGGGGACCUCACCAGCCCCAACAACCCCCACAGAAGAGGAAGACCUCCGCCGCCGCCUCAAGUACUUCUUUAUGAGCCCAUGUGACAAGUUCCGGGCCAAAGGCCGCAAGCCCUGCAAGCUGAUGCUGCAGGUGGUCAAGAUCUUGGUGGUCACUGUGCAGCUCAUUCUCUUUGGGCUCAGCAACCAGCUGGUGGUGACAUUCCGGGAAGAGAACACCAUUGCCUUCCGACAUCUCUUCCUGCUGGGUUACUCUGAUGGGUCUGAUGACACCUUUGCAGCCUACACACAGGAGCAGCUCUACCAAGCCAUCUUCUAUGCUGUGGACCAGUACCUGAUACUACCUGAGAUAUCCCUGGGCCGGUAUGCCUAUGUCCGUGGUGGGGGUGGGCCUUGGGCCAAUGGAUCAGCUUUGGCUCUCUGCCAGCGGUACUACCACCGUGGCCAUGUGGACCCAGCCAAUGAUACCUUUGACAUUGAUCCAAGGGUAGUCACUGACUGUAUCCAGGUGGAUCCUCCUGACAGACCCCCUGACAUCCCCAGUGAGGACUUGGACUUCUUGGAUGGCAGCGCCAGUUACAAGAACCUCACACUGAAAUUCCACAAGCUGAUCAACGUCACCAUCCACUUCCAGCUGAAGACAAUUAACCUGCAGAGCCUCAUCAACAAUGAGAUCCCUGAUUGUUACACCUUCAGUAUCCUGAUCACAUUUGACAAUAAAGCGCACAGUGGGCGAAUCCCCAUCCGCCUGGAGACCAAGACCCACAUCCAGGAGUGCAAACACCCCAGUGUCUCCAGACAUGGAGACAACAGCUUCCGGCUUCUGUUUGAUGUGGUGGUUAUCCUCACCUGCUCCCUGUCCUUCCUGCUGUGCGCCCGCUCACUGCUCCGUGGCUUCCUGCUGCAGAACGAGUUUGUUGUAUUCAUGUGGCGGCGGCGGGGUCGGGAAAUCAGCCUCUGGGAACGGCUGGAGUUUGUCAAUGGCUGGUACAUCCUGCUGGUCACCAGUGACGUGCUCACCAUCUCGGGGACUGUCAUGAAGAUUGGCAUUGAGGCAAAGAACCUAGCCAGCUAUGAUGUCUGCAGUAUUCUCUUGGGUACCUCCACUCUGCUAGUCUGGGUCGGUGUCAUUCGCUACCUGACAUUUUUCCACAAGUACAACAUCUUGAUUGCCACGUUGCGAGUGGCACUGCCCAGUGUCAUGCGUUUCUGCUGCUGUGUGGCUGUCAUCUACCUGGGCUAUUGCUUCUGUGGCUGGAUCGUUCUAGGGCCCUACCAUGUGAAGUUCCGCUCGCUGUCCAUGGUUUCUGAGUGUCUGUUCUCACUCAUCAACGGAGACGACAUGUUUGUGACGUUCGCGGCCAUGCAGGCCCAGCAGGGUCACAGCAGCCUGGUGUGGCUCUUCUCCCAGCUGUACCUCUACUCCUUCAUCAGCCUCUUCAUCUACAUGGUGCUGAGCCUCUUCAUUGCACUCAUCACCGGCGCCUAUGACACCAUCAAGGUCAGCCAUCUCUACCAUCUCCUCCCUGGGAGUCCUGGCUUCCCCUUCCCCUCCCCUGAACAUUUUCAGCCCUGAGUUCCAAGAGUCGCCUGGCUUCACAAAGUUGUCCUGGCUUCACAAUAGUUGGAACAGGUAAGACUCAGAAGCUAUAUAAAGUCCAAAGGAAGAGUGGCCAGGAACUGGGUUUGGAGUAGUUGGGGUUGUUUGAGUCAUCCUGGAAGAGUAGCCUAGGAUGUACCAUAACUGGAUUCAGUUGGAUGGGCAGGAAGGGACGGGCUCCCAUGGUCCCUCAUGGGUACAAAAAUGUGCCAGUAUUUUCUCUCUCUCUCUCUCUCUCUCUCUCUCUGUGUGUGUGUGUGUGUGUGUGUAUGUGCCCCCCCUCUGUGUGUGUGUGUGUGUGUGUGUGUGCGUGUGCAUGCAUGUUACAUGUAUCAGAGGACAAACCACAGGAAUUGGUUCUCCUCCUUCACUGUAUGGAUCAUAGAUCUGAACACAAGUUACCAGCUUUGCAGCAAGUGCCUUUACCUGCCACACCAUCUCACUGGCUUCCUCCCUCUCUCAUACCAUCUUUUAUUAAAAACCAUUUACUUAUUUAGGGGUGAGAGGAGGUUGUGCACAGCACAGUGUGUUUGGAAAUUAGAGACGACUUGUGGAAAUCAGCUCUCUUCGUCCACCAUGUGGAGUCAUCAGCACCCAGGAGGUACUGGCACAGAGAAGAGUGAGCUCCAGGCCUACAUCGAGCAGUGCCAGGAUAGCCCCACAUCUGGCAAGUUCCGUCGUGGCAGUGGCUCAGCUUGUAGCCUUUUCUGCUGCUGUGGAAGGGACUCCCCGGAGGACCAUUCGCUGCUGGUGAACUGAUCCAAGAUGAUUGCCACUAGACUUUAUCCCCAUGUACUGCUGGGACCCCAGCUUAUUUAUUUUUAGAAUUUGCUUUAAAAGAUCUGCGUCUGACAGGCCUUGUGAGGGCUUGGGCUGAUCGAAUCGGACACAGGGGAAAGGGAGGGCAUGUAGGGCGGCUGUUAAAUAAAAGGGAAUGUAAA
Mus musculus (house mouse) is the source of this 2754-nucleotide RNA transcript. It is a transcript of the gene named mucolipin 1, with no coding region annotated. The record is from RefSeq and is marked validated. NCBI's taxonomy places the organism in Eukaryota, Metazoa, Chordata, Mammalia, Rodentia, Muridae. The transcript is spliced from 14 exons.